This 456-nucleotide long non-coding RNA is filed under the name Homo sapiens (human). RNAcentral's name for it is "non-protein coding lnc-OR4F21-3:2". The record is from RNAcentral. Lineage: Eukaryota; Metazoa; Chordata; Mammalia; Primates; Hominidae.
CCAGACCAAACCAAUGCACAACUCCUACGUACUGAUGGUGGUCUUACGUUUCCCUAAGUUUCUGCCGACUAAACUGUGCACACGUUCUCAGGACCUCCUGAAGCUGCGUCACAGGCGCUGAUCAAAGAACACAACCAAGAGUUUGGCCUUUUCUUCAGCACUGGGAAUUGUGAUCCAAAGCUUUUCCUGAUGAAGCACAAAGUUGGAGAAAAAAAAGCAAACUAAACAACAACAAUGAAACAGAACAGAGUUAAUCUGCUGUAGCUCAAGAGAGGACGUAGCUGCCCCCACUCCGCAUCCCUGGGCUCGGGUUUGCCUUGCUGACCUCUGCUGCCACCUGGUGCCACACAGAGAAACUGAGGAGAAACCACAUCAGUCUCCUUCAGCCUCAGCUUCACAUCUGUGGGUCAAGUAACCCUUUCAGAAGCUGAAUAAUGUGGGAAAGCUUUCCUCUCA